CCUACGGGAGGCAGCAGUGAGGAAUAUUGGUCAAUGGUCGCGAGCCUGAACCAGCCAAGUAGCGUGAAGGAUGACUGCCCUACGGGUUGUACACUUCUUUUAUAAAGGAAUAAAAUGAGGCACGUGUGCCUUUUUGUAUGUAUUUUAUGAAUAAGGAUCGGCUAACUCCGUGCCAGCAGCCGCGGUACUACGGAGGGUCCGGUCGUUAUCCGGAUUUAUUGGGUUUAAAGGGAGAGUAGGUGGGUUGUUAAGUCAGUUGUGAAAGGUUGCGGCUCAACCGUAAAUUGCAAUUGAUACUGGCAGCCUUGAGUACAGUGGAGGUAUGCGGAAUUCGUGGUGUAGCGGUGAAAUGCUUAGAUAUCACGAAGAACUCCGAUUGCGAAGGCAGCCUACUAAACUGCCACUGACAUUGAUGCUCGAAAGUGUGGGUAUCAAACAGGAUUAGAUACCCCAGUAGUC
This 459-nucleotide ribosomal RNA is filed under the name uncultured bacterium. RNAcentral's name for it is "partial 16S ribosomal RNA". It matches the Rfam family "Bacterial small subunit ribosomal RNA", at positions 338 to 795 of the family's 1533-position model. The record is from RNAcentral.